GAUGGACGCUGGCGGCGUGCCUAAUACAUGCAAGUCGAACGCAUUGUGGUUGAAAUGAUAUGAAGAACUUGUUCAGAUUUGAUUUUCAACAUUGCAAUGAGUGGCGAACGGGUGAGUAACACGUGGGAAACCUACCUCUUAGCAGGGGAUAACAUUUGGAAACAAUGCUAAUACCGUAUAAUAUUAAAACCGCAUGGUUUUAGUUUAAAAGAUGGUCUUGCUAUCACUAAGAGAUGGUCCCGCGGUGUAUUAGUUAGUUGGUGAGGUAAUGGCUCACCAAGACAAUGAUACAUAGCCGAGUUGAGAGACUGACCGGCACAAUGGGACUGAGACA
This 334-nucleotide ribosomal RNA is filed under the name uncultured bacterium. Its description in RNAcentral is "bacterial SSU rRNA". It matches the Rfam family "Bacterial small subunit ribosomal RNA", at positions 28 to 326 of the family's 1533-position model. The record is from RNAcentral.